Unclassified non-coding RNA from Macaca fascicularis (crab-eating macaque), 159 nucleotides. It matches the Rfam family "Metazoan signal recognition particle RNA". Rfam says of the family: The signal recognition particle (SRP) is a universally conserved ribonucleoprotein. It is involved in the co-translational targeting of proteins to membranes. NCBI's taxonomy places the organism in Eukaryota, Metazoa, Chordata, Mammalia, Primates, Cercopithecidae. The record is from Ensembl.
GCCAGGCAUAGUGGUAUGUACCUGUAGUCCCAGCUACUUAGGAGGCUGAGGUAGGAGGAUCACUUGUGCCCAGGAGUUUGAGGCUGUAGUGUGCCAUGACGGUGCCUAUAAAUAGCUACUGAGCUCCAGCCUGGGCAACAAAGCAAUAUCCUGACUCUA